Molecule: ribosomal RNA, 254 nt
Filed under: uncultured bacterium
Lineage: Bacteria
Description: partial 16S ribosomal RNA
Rfam family: Bacterial small subunit ribosomal RNA
Source: RNAcentral
GACAGAGGGUGCAAACGUUGUUCGGAAUUACUGGGCGUAAAGCGCGUGUAGGCGGCUUUGCAAGUCGGAUGUGAAAUCCCACGGCUCAACCGUGGAAGUGCAUUCGAAACUGCAAGGCUAGAGUCCUGGAGAGGAAGGUGGAAUGCUUGGUGUAGAGGUGAAAUUCGUAGAUAUCAAGCGGAACACCGGUGGCGAAGGCGGCCUUCUGGACAGUGACUGACGCUGAGACGGCGAAAGCGUGGGGAGCAAACAGG